UACAGAGGUCUCAAGCGUUGUUCGGAUUCAUUGGGCGUAAAGGGCGCGUAGGCGGCGAUUCAAGUGACGGGUGAAAUCCCUCGGCUUAACCGAGGAACUGCCUGUCAGACUGGAUUGCUUGAGUCCGGGAGAGGCGAGUGGAAUUCCCAGUGUAGCGGUGAAAUGCGUAGAUAUUGGGAGGAACACCAGUGGCGAAGGCGGCUCGCUGGACCGGAACUGACGCUGAGGCGCGAAAGCGUGGGGAGCAAACAGG
RNAcentral lists this ribosomal RNA (253 nucleotides) under uncultured bacterium. RNAcentral describes it as "partial 16S ribosomal RNA". It matches the Rfam family "Bacterial small subunit ribosomal RNA", at positions 524 to 776 of the family's 1533-position model. The record is from RNAcentral.